GAUGAAGAACGUAGCGAAAUGCGAUAAGUAAUGUGAAUUGCAGAAUUCAGUGAAUCAUCGAAUCUUUGAACGCACCUUGCGCCCUUUGGCUAUUCCGAAGGGCAUGCCUGUUUGAGUAUCGUGAACACCUCAACUCUCAUGGUUUGCCAUGAUGAGCUUGGACUUUGGGGGUUUUGCUGGCCUUUGGUCGGCUCCUCUCAAACGGAUCAGCUUUCCAGUGUUUGGUGGCGUCACGGGUGUGAUAACUAUCUACGCCUGUGGUUUUCUGCCAGAUAACCUUCAGCGAUGGAGGUUCGCUGGGGCUCAUAAAUGUCUCUCUUCAGUGGAGACAGCUUUUUGGACGUUUGAUCUCAAAUCAGGUAGGACUACCCGCUGAACUUAAGCAUAUCAAAAGCGGAGGA
This 401-nucleotide unclassified non-coding RNA is filed under the name soil metagenome. RNAcentral's name for it is "partial contains 5.8S ribosomal RNA, internal transcribed spacer 2, and large subunit ribosomal RNA". The stretch from base 1 to 121 matches the Rfam family "5.8S ribosomal RNA", at positions 35 to 154 of the family's 154-position model. The record is from RNAcentral.